This 1965-nucleotide ribosomal RNA is filed under the name human gut metagenome. Its description in RNAcentral is "bacterial LSU rRNA". It matches the Rfam family "Bacterial large subunit ribosomal RNA", at positions 1 to 1977 of the family's 2925-position model. The record is from RNAcentral.
UUAAGUGAACAAGGGCAUACGGCGGAUGCCUUGGCGCCAAGAGCCGAUGAAGGACGCGGUAAGCUGCGAAAAGGCAUGGGUAGGAGCAAGCAUCCUGUGAUCCAUGCAUAUCCGAAUGGGGCAACCCACCAUCAGUCAUGUGAUGGUACGAAAGAGGCAGACCUGGGGAACUGAAACAUCUAAGUACCCAGAGGAAAAGUAAUCAAUUGAGAUUCCCUAAGUAGCGGCGAGCGAAAGGGGAAGAGCCCAAACCAUGAAACUUCGGUUUUGUGGGGUUGAGGACCGGCAAAAAGAGGAAACUUCUUAGUCGAAUGGUUUGGAAAGGCCAUGCACAGAAGGUAAAACACCUGUAGGCGAAAAGAAGUCAAUCGGGCUGGUAUCCAGAGUACUGCGAGACACGUGAAACCUUGCAGGAAGCAGGGGGGACCACCCUCCAAGGCAAAAUACUACUUGGCGACCGAUAGCGCAUAGUACCGUGAGGGAAAGGUGAAAAGAACCCCGGGAGGGGAGUGAAAUAGAACCUGAAACCGUAUGUCUACAAGCAGUCGAAGCACCUUAAGAGUGCGACGGCGUGCCUAUUGAAGAAUGAACCGGCGAGUUACAUUAUGUUGCGAGGUUAAGUGGGAGACACGGAGCCGAAGCGAAAGCGAGUCUUAAUAGGGCGACUAGUAACAUGGUGUAGACCCGAAACCGCAGUGAUCUAUCCAUGGUCAGGUUGAAGCGCAGGUAAAAAUGCGUGGAGGACCGAACCCGUGAGUGUUGAAAAACUUUGGGAUGAACCGUGGAUAGGGGUGAAAUGCCAAUCGAACGCGGAGAUAGCUGGUACUCCCCGAAAUAGCUUUAGGGCUAGCCUCAGGGAAGAUUAUAGACGGUAGAGCACUGAUCUGGCAAGGGGGCGUAAAGCCUACCGACCCUAGUCAAACUUCGAAUGGCUAUAAUUAAGACCCUGGGAGUCAGACUGCGAGUGAUAAGACCCGUAGUCAAGAGGGAAACAGCCCAGACCGCCGACUAAGGUCCCCAAUGCUGUACUAAGUGGAAAAGGAUGUAAGACUUCAUAAACAACCAGGAUGUUGGCUUAGAAGCAGCCACCAUUAAAAGAGUGCGUAAUAGCUCACUGGUCGAGAGGCCUUGCGCCGAAGAUGUCCGGGGCUCAAGUACAGAACCGAAGUCGCGGCAGGAUUAUAUAAUUCUGGGUAGGGGAGCGUUGUAUAUCCGACUGAAGGUGUACCGGAAGGAGCGCUGGAGGAUAUACAAGAGAGAAUGCCGGUAUGAGUAGCGAAAAGAACAGUGAGAAUCUGUUCCACCGAAAGCCUAAGGUUUCCUGAGCAACGCUCGUCGACUCAGGGUAAGUCGGGACCUAAGCCGAGGCAAAAAGCAUAGGCGAUGGACAACAGGUUAAUAUUCCUGUACCGCUUCAAAUCGUUUGAGCAAUGGAGUGACACAGAAGGUAGCUUGAGCACGCGAAUGGAUGUGCGUGUCGAAGGUGGUAGGUUGCAGUAUAGGUAAAUCCGUACUGUAUAAGACCGAGAACUGAUAGAUAGACGAUACUUCGGUAAAGUCAAAUUCAAGUGAGCCAUGCUGUCGAGAAAAGCUUCUAGUGAGAGAUGAGGCGCCCGUACCGAAACCGACACAGGUAGGCGGGGAGAGAAUCCUAAGGUGCGCGGGACAACCCUCGUUAAGGAACUCGGCAAAUUGUAUCCGUAACUUAGGGAUAAGGAUAGCCGGAGGAUGUGAAGGGAUUUACUUCUGGAGCGUCAGCCGGUGGCACAAGAGAGGCCCAAGCGACUGUUUAGCACAAACACAGGUGCCUGCAAAAGAGAAAUCUGACGUAUAGGUGCUGACACCUGCCCGGUGCUGGAAGGUUAAGAGGAGGGCUUAGAGGAAACUCGAAGGCUUGAAUUGAAGCCCCAGUAAACGGCGGCCGUAACUAUAACGGUCCUAAGGUAGCGAAAUUCCUUGUCGGGU